GACGAACGCUGGCGGCGUGCCUAAUACAUGCAAGUCGAGCGGACUUAAAAAGCUUGCUUUUUAAGUUAGCGGCGGACGGGUGAGUAACACGUGGGCAACCUGCCUGUAAGACUGGGAUAACUUCGGGAAACCGGAGCUAAUACCGGAUAAUCCUUUUCUACUCAUGUAGAAAAGCUGAAAGACGGUUUACGCUGUCACUUACAGAUGGGCCCGCUGCGCAUUAGCUAGUUGGUGAGGUAACGGCUCACCAAGGCGACGAUGCGUAGCCGACCUGAGAGGGGGAUCGGCCACACUGGGACUGAGACACGGCCCAGACUCCUACGGGAGGCAGCAGUAGGGAAUCUUCCGCAAUGGACGAAAGUCUGACGGAGCAACGCCGCGUGAGUGAUGAAGGUUUUCGGAUCGUAAAACUCUGUUGUUAGGGAAGAACAAGUACGAGAGUAACUGCUCGUACCUUGACGGUACCUAACCAGAAAGCCACGGCUAACUACGUG
This 494-nucleotide ribosomal RNA is filed under the name uncultured bacterium. RNAcentral's name for it is "partial 16S ribosomal RNA". It matches the Rfam family "Bacterial small subunit ribosomal RNA", at positions 28 to 507 of the family's 1533-position model. The record is from RNAcentral.